UACGUAGGGUGCGAGCGUUGCCCGGAUUUAUUGGGCGUAAAGGGCGCGUAGGCGGUCACGCACGUCCGUUGUGAAAUCGCUCGGCUCAACUGGGCGGGGUCAGCGGAUACGGCGUGGCUGGAGCAAGCUAGGGGGCAAUGGAAUUCCCGGUGUAGUGGUGGAAUGCGUAGAUAUCGGGAGGAACACCAGUGGCGAAGGCGGUUGCCUGGAGCUUUGCUGACGCUGAUGCGCGAAAGCUAGGGGAGCAAACGGG
Molecule: ribosomal RNA, 253 nt
Filed under: uncultured bacterium
Lineage: Bacteria
Description: partial 16S ribosomal RNA
Rfam family: Bacterial small subunit ribosomal RNA
Source: RNAcentral